AUGGCCUGCAUCAGCUCCUG
Molecule: unclassified non-coding RNA, 20 nt
Filed under: Mus musculus (house mouse)
Lineage: Eukaryota; Metazoa; Chordata; Mammalia; Rodentia; Muridae
Description: oocyte_clustered_small_RNA8829
Source: RNAcentral